This 370-nucleotide ribosomal RNA is filed under the name uncultured bacterium. Its description in RNAcentral is "bacterial SSU rRNA". It matches the Rfam family "Bacterial small subunit ribosomal RNA", at positions 917 to 1291 of the family's 1533-position model. The record is from RNAcentral.
GGGCCCGCACAAGCGGUGGAGUAUGUGGUUUAAUUCGAUGCAACGCGAAGAACCUUACCAGGGCUUGACAUCCUGCGAACCUCUGGGAAACCGGAGGGUGCCUUCGGGAGCGCAGUGACAGGUGGUGCAUGGCUGUCGUCAGCUCGUGUCGUGAGAUGUUGGGUUAAGUCCCGCAACGAGCGCAACCCACGUCUUUAGUUGCCAGCAUUUAGUUGGGCACUCUAGAGAGACCGCUGGUGAUAAACCGGAGAAGGUGUGGAUGACGUCAAGUCAUCAUGCCCCUUACAUCUGGGCUACACACGUACUACAAUGCUACGGACAAAGGGCAGCAAACUCGCGAGAGCUAGCAAAUCCCAUAAACGUGGCUCAG